Molecule: long non-coding RNA, 129 nt
Organism: Sinocyclocheilus rhinocerous
Lineage: Eukaryota; Metazoa; Chordata; Actinopteri; Cypriniformes; Cyprinidae
Exons: 2
Source: RefSeq, a predicted model, not a curated record
UGUCUAAGACUUGAUGGCUGCUGUGUCAAUUCCUCGUCACCAGUUAGGAACCAAGGUGUGCUAUUUGAUCGUAAUCUUUCCUUCGAAAGCCACGUUUUUAGCAUUUGUAAAACUGCAUUUUUCCAUCUC